CACCCAACUGCACUGACGAGUCUAAACUUUUAUAAGAUCGACGCUAUGAAAACAUUCGUUACCCUUUUAGACAGUAAAGGAUUCCUGGAGGAAAGGCAACGAGACGACGAAUGUUUCAUUCGAGCCAAGUUAUUCAACACGAUGAUCUUAUAAAAAAUACAGAAAGUUUCUUCUUUAUCGUCACAUCGAUUAAUAAAUUUAUAUAUUUCGUAUCCGGAUCAGAGACAAAAAUUUCAAAGUAAUAAUGCAUAAUCACUGAAUCAAGUUUGAAAGUAACGCGUCCCAUCAAUUGAUAUUCUCAUAAACCAAAAUCCACUCGGAUGAUCAUCAUUCCAGUGGCAAAUUCACGCGUCGAAAGUACGUCGUUAUGUGGAUAACGUUAUUCGGAACAAGGGCAGGGAGGAGGAGAGGAGCAAGUCGAUCGACUGAAGUUUCAACCGCGCGUAAUGAGAUUAUUCUGUUCUGCCGGGAUGUCAACGCACGCCUAGCUACCGUUGGGCUGACGUGAAACCUGCGCUGAACUUCCGGUUGAAACUUUUACCGGUUAAUAUUCAGUAAAAGGGGGAAGAAAGAGAGAGAACGAAAAGAGUUAUGCGCGACAAUAUGACGCGUGAUAAAAAUAUUAACGAAAACGGGAAACAAUUCCUUCCUCUAUAAUUUUAUUUCAUUUUUUUCACCAUUUUGUCCUUUUUGCUCCUCUCGCAAAAUAAUUUUCCGAUUAAACAUUUUUAAACGUUUUAAACUAUCAUAAUAUAUAAAUUUAUUUAUAUUAUUUUCUUCCUUUGUUUAUUUCGUUGUGUUUCGUUAGUGUUUCGCGUUCUUAAAUCUUAACUCUAUUCACUUUAUCACUUUUGUUCAAUCUAGUGAUACGUAUUGUUGUUUUAAUUAGAAUGAGACAUCUAAAAAAUCGUAGAAAUUUUUUUAAAAGAAAUUCUUUGAAACUAUAUCUUUUUCCUUUUUUUCUUUUAUCUAAUGUAUAUGUUCAAUAAAAGUCUAUAUAUGCAUGUAAAUAUAUCACAUGCCUAUGCAAAAAAUGUGAAAAAUUUGUAAAAAAAACAAUAUUAUCUAAAUUGUAGUAAAAGAUAAAAAUAAUAUGAAUUACUAUUGAUAUUAAUUGUGUAAAGACAUACAUAUAUAGAAUUAUAUAAUGCCGAAUUAUAAUAGGUUAGUAAAAUAAAAAAAAAAAGAAGUUUUAUUGCGAAA
Apis cerana (Asiatic honeybee) is the source of this 1203-nucleotide long non-coding RNA. RefSeq lists it as uncharacterized. NCBI's taxonomy places the organism in Eukaryota, Metazoa, Arthropoda, Insecta, Hymenoptera, Apidae. The record is from RefSeq and is a predicted model, not a curated record.